Molecule: ribosomal RNA, 362 nt
Filed under: uncultured bacterium
Lineage: Bacteria
Description: bacterial SSU rRNA
Rfam family: Bacterial small subunit ribosomal RNA
Source: RNAcentral
AACGAACGCUGGCGGCAGGCUUAACACAUGCAAGUCGAGCGCUGUAGCAAUACAGAGCGGCGCACGGGUGAGCAACACGUGGGAACGUGCCCUAUGGUUCGGAAUAACUCAGGGAAACUUGAGCUAAUACCGGAUAAGCCCUUACGGGGAAAGAUUUAUCGCCAUUGGAGCGGCCCGCGUCCGAUUAGCUUGUUGGUGAGGUAAAAGCUCACCAAGGCGACGAUCGGUAGCNGGUCUGAGAGGACGACCAGCCACACUGGGACUGAGACACGGCCCAGACUCCUACGGGAGGCAGCAGUGGGGAAUCUUGGACAAUGGGGGAAACCCUGAUCCAGCCAUGCCGCGUGAGUGAUGAAGGCCUU